CGUGUCUUCGCCUCGCCAGUCAAGCAGGAUGAUCACAGAUGGCCGCGGUUUUCUGAAUGAAGACGGAGAGGAGAGGCGGUCGUUUCGGCUGGAAGUUCUGGGCCAGUCCUGGGGUCAUGGAUUCGCUGUGUAGGAGGAUCCAGUGUCUGGGUUUUGCAGUGGCCGCGGUUAAUGAUGUGUUAUAUAUUUCCGGGCCGCUUUUCGAGACCUUGCAGACCGACAGAGCAUACUGCAACCCACACACCAUGCGUGCGCGAUGAGAUCGAGGGAGGUAUGGAGAUGGAGUGUGAAUUCCUGUUUCAGCACCACGGACAGCUCUAC
Long non-coding RNA from Anguilla anguilla (European eel), 321 nucleotides. RefSeq lists it as uncharacterized. The record is from RefSeq and is a predicted model, not a curated record. The transcript is spliced from 3 exons. Lineage: Eukaryota; Metazoa; Chordata; Actinopteri; Anguilliformes; Anguillidae.